UGUUAAAAAUUUUCAUUCAUUUGUACUCUUAGAAACUAGCAUGGCCGAAAGAAUUCCCAGAUAAUGACAUGUGGUGUGCCACGUGUACCUUAUGCUAAUGUACAGGACUAGUUUCUAACUGCAGAAAUGAAUGAAAUUUUUAAUA
This is a non-coding RNA of Gossypium hirsutum (cotton), 145 nucleotides long. Lineage: Eukaryota; Viridiplantae; Streptophyta; Magnoliopsida; Malvales; Malvaceae. The record is from Rfam.